GCCCUGCCCAGCUCCACUUGGGACUGCUCUGCCCAGGCCCCAUUUCAGCCCAGCUGGUGCCUAGAACAGCAAUGUAGUGCAGUGCUGUAGAGGAGCGGAGUACUUCUUGCAGAGCCUGGACUGGCACUUAAGGGCAAGUCAUUCCCCAUUCCUGGGGAGUGGAAAGAUUCUUCGGUGCAGGGAAGAGUGUGUUCCUGACCAGACGUCCAAGAGAACCUGACCUGUUUCUUAGAGACCAAUUAAGAUGGGAAGUGUGCGAGUUGAACGUCCUUACAAAAUAGCAGCACGAAUGCAUUUCUCCUGUGUGAUAAUUGU
Non-coding RNA from Meleagris gallopavo (turkey), 315 nucleotides. The record is from RefSeq and is a predicted model, not a curated record. NCBI's taxonomy places the organism in Eukaryota, Metazoa, Chordata, Aves, Galliformes, Phasianidae.